AAGAAGGAUGUACCAAAAAUCACCCUCGGGUUUCCGGCAUGAGCCGCUGGGUGGAUGCAAGCACCGUUUACUGAGACGGAAGACGGAGGAGCCAGCGUUGAAGGAUGGUGCAUGAGAUAAAUCCCAGAAGAACUGAAAGGCAAACACAACAAAGGUACAAGACCAAAUGCAGCUGAACCGAACCAAGAAAGUAACCGGGGUGGCGGGAUCUGGAGGCAGGCCUCUUGGAGCUGACUGGCCUGAACGCCCUUCCACGGGAGGCCCCAGGGAGCACCUUGUUCCCUCCGCCACGCGGGGACACAGCAAGAAGACGCGUCCCUGAACCGGGAAGCAGGUUCUCACCAGCCCGUGACUCUGGGGGUCCCCCAGCCUUGGACUCCGCAGCCUCCAGAACCGUGAGAACGAAGUGGUUCUUGCUUCGGCCACCGAGUCGGCGGUGCUGGGCGGCCCGAACCACUGAGACAACAUCCAACACCCCAUUCGGAGGUGCCUGUGUGUGACCCGCACACACAUGAAGGCACCGGGAGUCACACGUGAGCACUCUUCUGUGUCCGUUGAUUUCCUCACUCGUGUGGUCGUGACGGCUGCGUCCUCGCUGCUGGUCGGUCUCCCGCUGCAGGACAGGCGCGGGGGUCCGUCCACCCCCACUAGAGGGCGUUGGGGGAGCGCCCAGUGCAGACAGUCACGAUUCGUGCAGCGGGUGGCACGGGGU
Molecule: long non-coding RNA, 712 nt
Organism: Mustela erminea (ermine)
Lineage: Eukaryota; Metazoa; Chordata; Mammalia; Carnivora; Mustelidae
Exons: 3
Source: RefSeq, a predicted model, not a curated record